This 581-nucleotide long non-coding RNA is filed under the name Fukomys damarensis (Damara mole-rat). Its description in RNAcentral is "lncRNA (ENSFDAG00000033218.1)". Lineage: Eukaryota; Metazoa; Chordata; Mammalia; Rodentia; Bathyergidae. The record is from RNAcentral.
AUAUUUCCUACCCUUAACUUCUAUUAUUCCUAGAAUUCCUUCUUUGAUUUUAGAGAACAUGAACUCAGUGUAUUGGACAUCUAACAGGCUGGGAGUUGUAAUAUUUCCCUUAUGUCAUCUGGAAGUCAUAAAUCAUCCAUAGAUCAAAAUGAUACAAGCCUCAGACUGCAAAUGACUACAGGGACGAAGAGUGAGGGUCCUCAUUGACCCGUGAGGCAUUGCUUGUGUGAAGGUUGACUGAUUCCUGCUUUUGGGAAAUAAAGAAUGACCAAGAAAAAAUAUGAUGAAAUAAGGCAAGAAGUUUAAUGUGGUGUAAAGAAGAAGGAAGAAAGGAACAGCAUAUUGACUGAUCUGCCACACAGGAACAGCUACGAAGGAAAGGAGAAAAAAGAGUAAAGGUAUAAAUGCUGGCACAUAAACAGAGUAAGAUUCUUCAGUGAAAUCAACUGAGCUUAACUGAUACAAUAAAGCGAUGUGGUGAAAGGAGAGAAUGGUUGAAUGAAUGGAGGGAAGAUAAGUGAGUAGGGUGGAGCAUUUCAUUUAGGAAUAAUUAAAGGAGGCAGAACGGAAGGAAUUCCCAG